UGACAGGCUAGGCUGGGAGUUUAGCGCUCUCCUGUAACUGUAAACACGCUUUAGACAGAGCUGAAUGCUAGAGGACGGUUUAGAAGUAGAUUAUCAGUCCUAAUCCGUACAGCGACGCUUUGUCCUCAUUGGUUGAUGCCUUUGAGAAUCAUGUCAGACGAGGAAUCGAGCAGCAUUAAUCAUUGGUAUUGGCGCUUUGAGGUAACGAAGCUGAGGAAAGAUUAGGGUAAGCUGGUAGUUUAUUUCUAUUUCAACCUUUAGCUGCUUGUCA
Molecule: signal recognition particle RNA, 271 nt
Filed under: Candidatus Woesearchaeota archaeon
Lineage: Archaea; Nanobdellati; Candidatus Woesearchaeota
Description: signal recognition particle sRNA
Rfam family: Archaeal signal recognition particle RNA
Source: RNAcentral